UAAAGGAAGCGAUUCGGGCUACGGAUGGUCAUGCGUCGCAUUAGCUAGUUGGCGGGGUAACGGCCCACCAAGGCGACGAUGCGUAGGGGUUCUGAGAGGAAGGUCCCCCACACUGGUACUGAGACACGGACCAGACUCCUACGGGAGGCAGCAGUGAGGAAUAUUGGUCAAUGGCCGCAGGGCUGAACCAGCCAAGUCGCGUGAGGGAUGACGGUCCUAUGGAUUGUAAACCUCUUUCGUCAGGGAGCAAAGGGCGCCACGUGUGGCGCUUUGCGAGUACCUGAAGAAAAAGCAUCGGCUAACUCCGUGCCAGCAGCCGCGGUAAUACGGAGGAUGCGAGCGUUAUCCGGAUUUAUUGGGUUUAAAGGGUGCGCAGGCGGAAUGUCAAGUCAGCGGUAAAAUUUCGGGGCUCAACCCCGUCGUGCCGUUGAAACUGGCGUUCUUGAGUGAGCGAGAAGUAUGCGGAAUGCGUGGUGUAGCGGUGAAAUGCAUAGAUAUCACGCAGAACUCCGAUUGCGAAGGCAGCAUACCGGCGCUCAACUGACGCUCAUGCACGAAAGCGUGGGUAUCGAACAGGAUUAGAUACCCUGGUAGUCCACGCAGUAAACGAUGAAUACUAACUGUCCGGGCAGAAUGAUGCCUGG
RNAcentral lists this ribosomal RNA (644 nucleotides) under uncultured bacterium. RNAcentral describes it as "bacterial SSU rRNA". It matches the Rfam family "Bacterial small subunit ribosomal RNA", at positions 202 to 842 of the family's 1533-position model. The record is from RNAcentral.